AGACUCAGAGAAGAUUCUCAACUCCAGCACCCGGCAUUUCAGGAAGAAAUAAGAAACAGAACAAUCUACUGAGAAUAUCACUUUACCUGAACGGAGUCUCACUCUGUCACCCAGGCUGGAGUGCCGUGGCCCGAUCUCAGCUCACUGCAAGCUCCGCCUCCCGGGUUCACACCAUUCUCCUGCCUCAGCCUCCUGAGUAGCUGGGACUACAGGUGCCCGCCAACACGCCCAGUCUCACUCUUGUCACCCAGGCUGGAGUGCGGUGGCAUGAUCUCAGCUCACUACAACCUCCAUCUCGGCUCACUGCAACCUCCACCUCCUGGGUUCAAGUGACUCUCCUGCCUCAGCCUCCGGAGUAACUGGGAAUACAGGGAGGGGACUGGAAUAAAAUACCCACCUCCUCAAGAGCACAGUUUCCAAUGGGAGGAAUUUGGGACGGAAGAACACUGGGUGCCCUGAGAUAGGUCCCGGCCACCUCCCCCAACACAGGAUCCGGAGAAGCCGUGACUGCGAAAAGGCCUGGGGACAGAAGGGAACGGCCCAAGGAGGACUACGGCGGCAGGCAGAUCAGGGGUGGGGUCUGCAGAAUCCCCAGACCAGGCAGAGGACGCGGCCCCUCCCGAAUGGCGGCUGCGGCGCUGCGCCCCAGGGGCCGACAAGGACGAGGCUUGGGACCCGGAGGGCGUGGAUCCGCCUCGCAGGCGGGGACUUUACGUGGCGCGGGGCUGGCGGAGGGGUCACUGAAGGGUUUUAAGCAGGAAAACGGCGCGAAAGCAGCUGCCUACGCAGCCCUACGGCAGAACGACCGGAGACAGAACCAGCCCUAGGGCGAUUUUAACACUCUGACGGGACGCAUGAAUUUACUCGGGGUGGAGAGAGCGGUGCGGGGAUUUCAAGGUCUGUACCGCCCCCCACAUCCCGGGUACAGAAGCGUGAGGGCACCGCUAAGCGAACACUUAAUCUAAACAAAGGAAAACUCACGCGCCGCAGUUGCGCCAUAUCUCCACGCCAUCCACUUCCGGGUCUGCAGGCGGCUGCGCGCGAACGGAGAGGCCGGGCCGGGGCGUGGCCAGCGACGUGGCGGGCGGGGCCUGAAUACUUAUUGGACGGGGCCUGCACUUCCCUCCUCCUAUCUCUGGGCGUGUCUCGGUUUUCCGCGUUUUGCAAGCCACACUUGCCAGUCAGGCUGGAGCCGCUCCACGGUUUGUGACCUGGGAUCUCACUAGGAGGGUCAACGUCUGUUGUUUGGAUCCAGGAAAGUUCCCACAAUUAAAAUUAAGGAAUUCAAUUAAAAUUUAGAAAUUUAAUUGAAAAUCCCUUAAAUUGUCUGUGAAAGGAAUGCAAACUAAAAUACAAUAUGCAAACUCAA
This is a long non-coding RNA of Homo sapiens (human), 1369 nucleotides long. RefSeq lists it as uncharacterized. The transcript has 4 exons. Lineage: Eukaryota; Metazoa; Chordata; Mammalia; Primates; Hominidae. The record is from RefSeq and is a predicted model, not a curated record.